This 309-nucleotide long non-coding RNA is filed under the name Elaeis guineensis (African oil palm). RNAcentral's name for it is "long non-coding RNA (EGUI_LNC062296)". The record is from RNAcentral. Lineage: Eukaryota; Viridiplantae; Streptophyta; Magnoliopsida; Arecales; Arecaceae.
GUGGGAUGACUAUUAAUUAGCUUGAACUAUGGCUCCAGUGCUAUGACAUACAGCAGAAGAGGACUAUCAAUAGAGGGUGCCACUCUGAUGCUCGCUUAUGAACUUCCUCAAUCAGACCACUUUCUUACCAGCAUUAGAUGCCAAAAUGUACUCUACCUCAUAUUGGCUACGAUAUGUUACUUGAAAUUUUUUUAGUAGAUUGCUCCUUCAUUUCGGAUAAACACAUAGCCAGACACACUUUUGCCAUUAUCAUGAUCUAAUUAAAAUUGGAAUCAAUAUAUCCUAUAAGUUUCAAAUCAAUAUCUCCAU